CCGUAGCUUGCUCCAGCCGAGAAAAAGAAGAGUGGCAGAACGGGUGAGUAACACGGUGGGUAACCUGCCCAUCAGAAGGGGAUAACACUUGGAAACAGGUGCUAAUACCGUAUAACAAUCGAAACCGCAUGGUUUUGAUUUGAAAGGCGCUUUCGGGUGUCGCUGAUGGAUGGACCCGCGGUGCAUUAGCUAGUUGGUGAGGUAACGGCUCACCAAGGCCACGAUGCAUAGCCGACCUGAGAGGGUGAUCGGCCACAUUGGGACUGAGACACGGCCCAAACUCCUACGGGAGGCAGCAGUAGGGAAUCUUCGGCAAUGGACGAAAGUCUGACCGAGCAACGCCGCGUGAGUGAAGAAGGUUUUCGGAUCGUAAAACUCUGUUGUUAGAGAAGAACAAGGAUGAGAGUAACUGUUCAUCCCUUGACGGUAUCUAACCAGAAAGCCACGGCUAACUACGUGCCAGCAGCCGCGGUAAUACGUAGGUGGCAAGCGUUGUCCGGAUUUAUUGGGCGUAAAGCGAGCGCAGGCGGUUUCUUAAGUCUGAUGUGAAAGC
RNAcentral lists this ribosomal RNA (553 nucleotides) under uncultured bacterium. RNAcentral describes it as "bacterial SSU rRNA". It matches the Rfam family "Bacterial small subunit ribosomal RNA", at positions 73 to 601 of the family's 1533-position model. The record is from RNAcentral.